This 444-nucleotide ribosomal RNA is filed under the name uncultured bacterium. Its description in RNAcentral is "SSU rRNA". It matches the Rfam family "Bacterial small subunit ribosomal RNA", at positions 26 to 518 of the family's 1533-position model. The record is from RNAcentral.
AGAACGAACGCUGGCGGCAGGCUUAACACAUGCAAGUCGAGCGCCGUAGCAAUACGGAGCGGCAGACGGGUGAGUAACGCGUGGGAACAUACCCUUCGGUUCGGAAUAAUUCAGGGAAACUUGGACUAAUACCGGAUACGGACGAGAGUCGAAAGAUUUAUCGCCGAAGGAUUGGCCCGCGUUCGAUUAGCUAGUUGGUGUGGUAACGGCGCACCAAGGCGACGAUCGAUAGCUGGUCUGAGAGGAUGAUCAGCCACAUUGGGACUGAGACACGGCCCAAACUCCUACGGGAGGCAGCAGUGGGGAAUAUUGGACAAUGGGCGCAAGCCUGAUCCAGCCAUGCCGCGUGAGUGAUGACGGCCUUAGGGUUGUAAAGCUCUUUCGCUAGGGACGAUAAUGACGGUACCUAGACAAGAGCCCGGCUAACUUCGUGCCAGCAGCCGC